CCAUUACUGUGACUUGUUGUCUGAAACAGUGACUGAAGAUGGCAUCUCCCGCCUGUAUGAAGCUUUUCAGGAAGUGCCUUUGACAUGUGACAGGACCACAGGGCACAUCCUCAAUAGACAUUACAAAUGGCUGCAGAAGCUUGGAAAUCUCGUGUCGGGUUCCGCAUUCGACUAGGGAACCGGGACCGACACAGAAGACCUCUUUGUCCUGCUAUGACAUCUAGAGGCUAACAGGAGCCAACCGAGCCCACCACUGAUCACAUCUCUUGGGAGACGGCAAAGCAACUGCUGCAUGGGAAGGAGGAGAGAGAAGAGGCAGAGCAGGAUGUGCCGGGGUGCACCAGUCACACAUAACCUCACAGUCUAGGCGGCGGAAGCCAAGCCCCUCCCCAGCCCUGCCGGACAUGCUACAACUGGAGCACCAGUGUGAAAGGGAGCAGCUCAGCUUGGUCUAGGCAGAUGCCGAAAAUGGAGGAUGCACAUUGUAGGCUCCAGUCCAGAAGCAGCUGAUGCCCCUGACUGCAGAGCCCCAAGGUGCCGAGACCCAACCCCAUCCCCGGGUGCCUGCAGACGUGCAAGGGAGCUCGGAGUCACUGGGAGAUUCCCACGCCGGGAGCCCAGAGACCCCCAGCCCAUGUCCUAGAGACAUCUCGUAGGAAGUAACCUGGGAGAACUAGCCAUCGCCAUGGUGACUGACGUCAGAUGUUCUGGCUGGAUCCCCACUGACUCAGUGCCGAACACAUUGGCCAUGGACAAGGCCCUGGGG
Mauremys reevesii (Reeves's turtle) is the source of this 766-nucleotide long non-coding RNA. RefSeq lists it as uncharacterized. The record is from RefSeq and is a predicted model, not a curated record. Lineage: Eukaryota; Metazoa; Chordata; Testudines; Geoemydidae. The transcript has 3 exons.